AUGCGAGCUCUGUUUGGUGAUGACUAUUAUGUCUGCAGAUUUCAGGAACCAGGGAAAAUAGAAGAUGAAUUUGCAAAAGGAUUCACAGGUGGCCUUAACUACUACAGAAAUCUCAACUUAAACUGGGAGCUGACAGCAGCAUGGACUGGAGCACAAAUUAAGGUACCAGUGAAGUUCAUCACAGAUGAUGGUAAUGAUUCGGAUAUGGACAUGGUUGACAAACCUCCAAGUCAAUGA
Vicia faba (fava bean) is the source of this 237-nucleotide non-coding RNA. The record is from the annotation of a GenBank genome assembly. NCBI's taxonomy places the organism in Eukaryota, Viridiplantae, Streptophyta, Magnoliopsida, Fabales, Fabaceae.